This 482-nucleotide ribosomal RNA is filed under the name uncultured bacterium. Its description in RNAcentral is "bacterial SSU rRNA". It matches the Rfam family "Bacterial small subunit ribosomal RNA", at positions 96 to 562 of the family's 1533-position model. The record is from RNAcentral.
UGGCGAACGGGUGAGUAACACGUGGGUAACCUGCCCUCAAGCGGGGGAUAACAUCCGGAAACGGGUGCUAAUACCGCAUAGUUUCCAUCUCCUCCUGGAGGCGGAAGGAAAGACGGCCUUUGUGCUGUCGCUUGAGGAUGGACCCGCGGCGCAUUAGUUAGUUGGUGGGGUAAUGGCCUACCAAGACGAUGAUGCGUAGCCGACCUGAGAGGGUGAUCGGCCACAUUGGGACUGAGACACGGCCCAAACUCCUACGGGAGGCAGCAGUAGGGAAUCUUCCGCAAUGGACGAAAGUCUGACGGAGCAACGCCGCGUGAGUGAAGAAGGUUUUCGGAUCGUAAAACUCUGUUGUCGGGGAAGAACAAGCAUUGGAGUAACUGCCAGUGCCUUGACGGUACCCGACCAGAAAGCCACGGCUAACUACGUGCCAGCAGCCGCGGUAAUACGUAGGUGGCAAGCGUUGUCCGGAUUUAUUGGGCGUA